CCUUCCUCCUCUCGAUGCGGCGGCGUUACUCCCUCGAUGCGCUGUCGAUCCGCGACAUGAUGCUGCGGGACUGCUUCUCCGCCGGUACGGUCUAACCCCCUCCCCUCUACACUUCCUCCAUAGCCCCUAAUGGAACGGAAGAGGCACCCAGCCUGUCUAUCGAGGGGAUGGCAAAGGCGCAUGGCGCGGCGGCGGCUCUAUCCCCCGACGGCGGGUACACGUCGGACACGCACGACGAGGGCCGGCCGCAAGAAAAAGAAGGAGAUGGCAGACGAUUCGCCGCCACCGACCAAGGUCCCAAACCAGUGGGUCGCCACAACUCCCUGAGCGACUGCGUCAGCGAGUGGGUUAGUAGCAUUGACAGCGAAAGCCUCUGCAUCGCCGAGGAGGAGGACGUCGCUGUCGACGACCAGAGCAAGGACCUCACGGACUACGUAGCCCGCCCGCGUCCCAUCGUGGUCGGGGAGGAGUCAGGUAGGAGUGUAGAAAAGGGCAAGCAGGCACAAUGAUUCGCCACUCCUGUUCUUCUCCAUCUUGCAAUUGAAGAUUCAGGAGGCCAGGAAGGCCACAAGUGAGGCAUCCAGCUCGACUUCGCCAUGCGGGUGCGCUGCACAUUCCACCCAUCGCCGGCAAAUCAUUCGUCAGCUGGGAAGGUGAGCAAGCAGGUACUGCCUUGCGCUUUCUGUUGUUCAUUUUCCAUUUCAUUUCUUGAUCAGCGUUCGCGUCACCACUUCAGAAUGCUGUUAUCUGAAGCUUAUCUUGUUUUCUUUGACUCAAAUAUUAUUGUGAGUACGCCAUUAUAUUAUUUGUUAGAUUUUUUAUCGAUCGAGUAGAUACUUUUCGAGACAAAAUGACUCGUGUCUGAAACUUAUGAUCUCUCCAGUGUACUUACAUUUUGGUAGCAUGUGCACUUCAUAAUUAUAUUAGUAGAAGCACUGCUUAUAUUAGCAAUUUAUUAGUACAUACUCUCCAAUUCACCACGCCUGCACAUUUUGACCGGUGUACCCUGAUAAUUUAUUAGCUUUGUGAUCGAUCAACAUAUCGUUUAGAACCCAAAUGUACUGUUAUCUGAAGCUUAUUGUUUUAUCGGUGUAAUUCGCAUGCUGAUGAUUGUACUCUCCAGCUCUCCAGGCUUGAACAUUUUCGUCAGUGUAACCUGAUCAUUUCCUAGCUUCUUCAUAAUUGAUUCGACCAUCAGAUACUACAUUGCCAAUUUUCCGGUAAACUACUACAGUAUCAUUUUCCAAUUUCAGGUAUGAAUAUUGCUAAAUGUAAAAUUCUCUUGCGGGCGAGAAUAUGUGUUGUAAAAAUUUAUGAAGUAUUUGUAGUGCCUAUUUUAUUUUCUCAAAUAUAUUAGUUUUUCCUCAAUAUUUCUAUUUUUGAGAUUUUGUGACGGGGGCCUUUGCGAGAGAACUUUUUGUAGGAGGCAAAAGUGGUAGGGGCACGGACCUGUCCAAAAGGCCCUAUCCUAGGACGUCCCUAGAAAAAGUCACCUUUUAAUCGACUUGAAGGCAUCCCACUCGACGGGUUCAAGACACUUGACCAAGAAGCUAUCACUCGACC
RNA transcript from Triticum dicoccoides, 1563 nucleotides. RefSeq lists it as uncharacterized. The record is from RefSeq and is a predicted model, not a curated record. Lineage: Eukaryota; Viridiplantae; Streptophyta; Magnoliopsida; Poales; Poaceae. The transcript is spliced from 2 exons.